UCCACACCCCUGCCCCGCCUCCUCCCGGUAGGAAACUCCGGGACCCUGCAAGGGAUGACUCACCCCAGUGAUUCAACCGCGCCACCGAGCGCGGAGCUGCCCUGGAGGACGCAGGCGGGUCUAGUUGCCCGGGUCCCCCAAGGCCCCCGGAUUCACCCAGGCCCGCGACUCCGACGUGCAGCUUAGGUGGGUUGCAGGUCUAUGGCAGGAAAGGGAGGGCGCCUUGGAAGAAUUCUUCCCUUCCAUUUGGUGAUAAAGUGGGAGAGGCGGCAUUUACAACAUUUAAUAGAAAGCACGGGCUCUGGGCUCCCCUCGGGCAGCGGAGGGCAUUUCCCGGAUGCUUUGCCCACCUGGGGCAGAAGCUCGGGACCUGCAGCGAAGUAAACGUGUGGCUGUGAGCAGGGCCCUCUCCCAGCCACGGUGGCUUCUUCUACCCCACGAAGGUCAAGAAUACCUGGCCUGCCCACCUCGCGGGGCCCUUAGCGGGUCGCACAGGAGAAAGGCGGUGGGAAUGCCGGUGUCAGCCACGGUGUGACCGGCUCGGCUCACAGGUCUGAGGGUCAGUUGGCUCAGGCAUCGCCCGGUACGACCAGAGAUAGUGACUGAGGAAGAGCAGCCUCACAUCUGGCAGUUUGCCUCUGGGAGAAUUCCAGCGUGACAUCUGCAGCUCUGUGGUUCCAGAAAGGAUGGUUCCCACAUUGAAGAAGACAUCUGUGGGACUGAGUUCCACCGAAAUGCAGAGGAACCAAAAAUGAAAAUGAAAAAUGUAACCAGAGUUGUGUGCCACUAGUUUUAAGCUUUGGUUUUUCUAAAUUAUUUUCUGGCUUCUCCUUCUGGGCUUUGCUGUAAACUUGCCAAGCAUGAGAACAACUCUUCAUCUAUUGAGUGGCAUUUUAAGCCAUCCUGUCAAAGUAUCUCCUGUCAUUUUUAUUAUUAUUACUCUAUAUUGCCUGCAAGACACGACUGGAGAAUUCUUAGUGUAAGAAUUGUUUGUUUCCUCUCUCCUUCUUUCCCACGUUUUCCCAGGGAAGUCAGUCUUGCAUUUUAAUGCAUACUAUAUACAUAUCUCGUUUAGCUUACUGAACCACUUGUUUUAACAGAAUAAAACUGUGGCUCUAGCCUGAGUCAUUUUCCCUAAGAGAUCUUCAGCUCCACCUGGGAUGUGAUUCUUUGCUCUCUGGGAUUGAAGGUAGCUGAAGAGAAAUAGUUACACUUCAGGUUUGUUACAAGACCCAAGAAAUUGUUGCAAUUCCACUUGGAGUCACUGACUUUUCUGAAAUCAUAUAGGGCUUUAAACAAUGUCAAGAUCAGCCAUUUGAUAAGAAAAAUGUUUACCAUUGGAUUGUGAUACACAAUGUGCCUUAAAUAUUGAUAAAUUAGAUGAAUAUUUAUUUUGUAUAUCCAUUAAAAUAGACAGGAAAGAGAAGAUGUUGGGUGUUUGCACAGGCUUUUUAGUCAGUACGGAAUGACAUUCUUCAAGAUUUAAAAAUGCUAAAAUCAUUACUAUUUUCAAGAAGAGGGAGGAAGAAAACGUGGUAAAUAAUAUUUCAUUGCGAAGUGUUUUUCCCUGACUGAUCUAAUUGUGGCCAGAUCUACUUUUUGACGGUGCGAAGUGUACUUUUUAAUGGUGCCAAACAGCAGUUGAUCUAUAAUAACUGCUGCUUGGCACCAUUAAAAAGUACAUAUCUAAAAUUUCACUGUUGAAAUUUGUUCACAAGAACAAAUUGACUGUUAAAAUUAUUCCCUAACCUUAACACAAUUUUUUUUACUCCUGUCAGUAAAGUCAAGCUUAGCAGUUAACAGUUCCCUCCUCCAUGAUCUAUCUUGGAGGCUCUGAGAAGUUCAAAAAGUUACUAAACUAUAACAAUAAUCUCUCUGGCUUGACCAGUCCCUUUCUCAUUGGAUUUUAGGAUGUCAGAGGAUGGGAGAACCUCACAGACAUUCUUUUAUGGAUGAGAACCCUGUGGCCAGCUGAUCUGAGUAAACUGGCUUGCCUAACCACACAGUGCAGAUCUGGUCUUCUGACCCCGGGGGCUUUCCUUCCAUCACCAGGCUUUCUCCUACUCCCAAUGAAGGAAACCUAGUUAACAGAUGCUCCAAAUUUUGAGCCUGUAACCCUUCCAAUCCCUUGCUGCCUUUGAUGGUGAUGCUCCAUCCUAUUAUACCAACUCCACAUUGAAGCAGAACUCUCAAGACAGAGGUAAUUCCUUAGUAAGCAAAGUUAUUUUUCACACUGGAAACAUGUUUGUUUGACUGGUUGUAAUUGUCAUCCUAAACCAUCAUUACCCUUUAUGUUACAACAUUUUAGCAUCUCACAGUUCUAAAUCAACUACUUCUAUUCUCACAGUUCUAAAUCAAAUACUUCUAUUCCUUGCCAUAAGGGGAAUAACAGGUUGCUUUAGCGUCAUUGUUUGUGCCCCCUCACACCCACCCAGCAAAUCCGUAUGUUGAAAUCCUCACCUCCAAUGUGAUGGUGUUAGGAGGCGGAGCCAUAAGUAGAUGAUCUGGUCGAGGAUGGAGCCUUUGUGAAUGGGGUUAGUGC
Molecule: long non-coding RNA, 2542 nt
Filed under: Homo sapiens (human)
Lineage: Eukaryota; Metazoa; Chordata; Mammalia; Primates; Hominidae
Description: HSALNT0010900
Source: RNAcentral